CUCCUGUCAUUGGGGAACAAGGCGUGACGGUUAACUGCCGUCGCGUUGAUAGUACCCGAAGAGGAAGAGACGGCUAACUCUGUGCCAGCAGCCGCGGUAAUACAGAGGUCUCAAGCGUUGUUCGGAUUCAUUGGGCGUAAAGGGUGCGUAGGCGGCGCGGUAAGUCGGGUGUGAAAUCUCGGAGCUUAACUCCGAAACUGCAUUCGAUACUGCCGUGCUUGAGGACUGGAGAGGAGACUGGAAUUUACGGUGUAGCGGUGAAAUGCGUAGAUAUCGUAAGGAAGACCAGUGGCGAAGGCGGGUCUCUGGACAGUUCCUGACGCUGAGGCACGAAGGCCAGGGGAGCAAACGGGAUUAGAUACCCCGGUAGUCCUGGCAGUAAACGGUGCACGUUUGGUGUGGGAGGAUUCGACCCCUUCUGCGCCGGAGCUAACGCGUUAAACGUGCCGCCUGGGGUGUACGGUCGCAAGAUUAAAACUCAAAGAAAUUGACGGGGGCCCGCACAAGCGGUGGAGUAUGUGGCUCAAUUCGAUGCAACGCGAAGAACCUUACCAGGCCUUGACAUGCAUCUCUAAGUUGGUGAAAGCCAGCGAGUCCCGAAAGGGACAAUUUGCACAGGUGCUGCAUGGCUCGUCG
This 636-nucleotide ribosomal RNA is filed under the name uncultured Verrucomicrobium sp. RNAcentral describes it as "bacterial SSU rRNA". It matches the Rfam family "Bacterial small subunit ribosomal RNA", at positions 430 to 1054 of the family's 1533-position model. The record is from RNAcentral. Lineage: Bacteria; Pseudomonadati; Verrucomicrobiota; Verrucomicrobiia; Verrucomicrobiales; Verrucomicrobiaceae.